RNAcentral lists this unclassified non-coding RNA (1916 nucleotides) under Hevea brasiliensis (rubber tree). Lineage: Eukaryota; Viridiplantae; Streptophyta; Magnoliopsida; Malpighiales; Euphorbiaceae. The record is from RNAcentral.
CUCAUUGUGAGAAAACAACUCAGCAGCCAGCUCCCAUCUGAAAGGAAAUUCAUUCCAUGCUACCACAAACAAAGCAAACCCAAAGAAAAGAAAAACAAAGACCCACUAGCUAGGUCACCGAAGUCACUGAAUAUUUGAGUGUCACCUACAGGGAUAUGUACUAAAAGCAAUCCUUAAUCCCUAUCUAAAAAUAUUUUUUAAAUUAAAAUUUAUAAUCCCACCCCACACAUUAUCAUCAUGAAUCCUGAAAAUGGGAUCCGCAGCAAGCCUAAUUUCCCUCUUCAAUUACUAGAAAAAAAGCACCACCUUCAAGAACCACAACCUGAUCAUCAACCUUCCUCCUCCUCUAAUCCUCCCAAGAAACCCCCUACUAAACGCAUCUCCACCAAGGACCGCCACACCAAAGUCGAAGGCCGUGGCCGCCGGAUCCGCAUGCCUGCCACCUGCGCUGCCAGGGUUUUUCAGCUCACUCGUGAACUCGGCCACAAAUCUGACGGUGCAACUAUCGAGUGGUUACUACAACAAGCUGAACCUGCUGUCAUCGCUGCCACUGGUACCGGUACCAUUCCCGCCAACUUCACUUCCCUUAACAUCUCUCUUCGCAGCUCUGGGUCUUCCAUCUCCGCCUCUCACCAUCUAAGGAACACGUAUUUGAAUCCCAACUUCACUGUCCAUCAACAGCUACGCAUCAGGAAUGAAUUGGAAAGAAACAUAGUCGUCGAUGAAGCUUCUCAGCAGCAGCGAAGAAUUCUUUUUCCUUCGGACAAUUCAUUAAGCUUUAGUUCUAUUAAUUCAACUAAUAAUGUAGGUGGGAAUUUGAAUACCGCUGUUGCUUUACAAGGAUCAGCUGCUAAUAAACAAGAAGUACGCGGAGGCGGCGACACUUCUUGUCUAGAUGUCACCGAUGGGGAGACUAGUCUAGGGAGCAAGCGGAGGCCGGAACAUGAAUUAGGUCAUCAGAUGGGGAGCUAUUUGAUGCAAUCAACUAGUACAGGGGCAAUUCCGACGACUCAUAGCCCGAUCCCGUCAACAUUUUGGAUGGCGUCUAAUAAUCCUAGCAGCAGUAACCAAGUGAUAACCGGUGACCCCAUGGUGACAUUUCCAUAUUUUAGUGCUAGUACCAAUAUGUAUAGGGGUUCUAUGUCUGGUGGAUUGCAUUUUAUGAAUUUUCCUGCGCCCAUGGCUCUCUUGCCAGGCCAACAAUUGGGUUCAGCAAUGAGCGGUGGUGAUGGUGGCAGUAGUACUGUCACUGAAAGUCACUUAGGUGUGCUGGCCGCGUUUAACGCUUACAGGCCAAUUAUGGGUGGUGGUGGCGCCACGGAGUCUCCGGUUAGUGGGUCAAACCCACACAAUGGAGGAGAGGACGGGCACAAUACAAGAAGCUAAUUGAGCAUUCCUAGAUAAGAAAUUGCAAGCAAGCAUGCUGAGAUGGAGAUUGGAGAAGCCCACGAGUUUGAUUAAGCCAAGCUCUAUUGCCUUAAUUAGACUAAAUUGCAUUUACUCACAGGAUCAUUCCUGCUCAUUUUCAUAUAAGGGAGCUGCUGGGUCUUGAUGAGUGAGGACAAUGUGCCACGCUCUCCCAACCCCACAUGCAGUCGUACUCAACUCUUCAUUGAUCUGGCCGACUGCAUACAUGUGGGGAUCUGGUCUGGGACAUUUCAAAGUUAUCAGUUGGCUUUACUAGCCUCUGUUUAAUUUGUGAAAUCGUGAAUUACAUAUUGGUUUGAAUGGCUUCAUACAUUAUUCUUUGCUGCUAUUGCUAUCUGUAGUAAACUUCCUUCCCCAUUUUCUCUGGCAAGUUUUAUGCAUAUAGUUCUGUCUCAAACACCGGAGCGUUCAGUUAUAUAUGUCUGAACACAUUUGCCUUAAAGGUCAAGCAGUAGAAAAUAUUUGAAUUCUUUUUUUUUUAAAGAAAA